This 460-nucleotide ribosomal RNA is filed under the name uncultured bacterium. RNAcentral describes it as "partial 16S ribosomal RNA". It matches the Rfam family "Bacterial small subunit ribosomal RNA", at positions 338 to 795 of the family's 1533-position model. The record is from RNAcentral.
CCUACGGGGGGCAGCAGUGAGGAAUAUUGGUCAAUGGACGAGAGUCUGAACCAGCCAAGUAGCGUGAAGGAUGACUGCCCUAUGGGUUGUAAACUUCUUUUAUAUGGGAAUAAAACGUUCCACGUGUGGGAUUUUGUAUGUACCAUAUGAAUAAGGAUCGGCUAACUCCGUGCCAGCAGCCGCGGUAAUACGGAGGAUCCGAGCGUUAUCCGGAUUUAUUGGGUUUAAAGGGAGCGUAGGUGGAUUGUUAAGUCAGUUGUGAAAGUUUGCGGCCCAACCGUAAAAUUGCAGUUGAAACUGGCAGUCUUGAGUACAGUAGAGGUGGGCGGAAUUCGUGGUGUAGCGGUGAAAUGCUUAGAUAUCACGAAGAACUCCGAUUGCGAAGGCAGUUCACUGGACUGCAACUGACACUGAGGCUCGAAAGUGUGGGUAUCAAACAGGAUUAGAUACCCUAGUAGUC